RNAcentral lists this ribosomal RNA (642 nucleotides) under uncultured Trichoderma. RNAcentral describes it as "eukaryotic LSU rRNA". The stretch from base 253 to 406 matches the Rfam family "5.8S ribosomal RNA". The record is from RNAcentral. Lineage: Eukaryota; Fungi; Ascomycota; Sordariomycetes; Hypocreales; Hypocreaceae.
CUUGGUCAUUUAGAGGAAGUAAAAGUCGUAACAAGGUCUCCGUUGGUGAACCAGCGGAGGGAUCAUUACCGAGUUUACAACUCCCAAACCCAAUGCGAACCAUACCAAACUGUUGCCUCGGCGGGGUCACGCCCCGGGUGCGUCGCAGCCCCGGAACCAGGCGCCCGCCGGAGGGACCAACCAAACUCUUUCUGUAGUCCCCUCGCGGACGUUAUUUCUUACAGCUCUGAGCAAAAAUUCAAAAUGAAUCAAAACUUUCAACAACGGAUCUCUUGGUUCUGGCAUCGAUGAAGAACGCAGCGAAAUGCGAUAAGUAAUGUGAAUUGCAGAAUUCAGUGAAUCAUCGAAUCUUUGAACGCACAUUGCGCCCGCCAGUAUUCUGGCGGGCAUGCCUGUCCGAGCGUCAUUUCAACCCUCGAACCCCUCCGGGGGGUCGGCGUUGGGGAUCGGGAACCCCUAAGACGGGAUCCCGGCCCCGAAAUACAGUGGCGGUCUCGCCGCAGCCUCUCCUGCGCAGUAGUUUGCACAACUCGCACCGGGAGCGCGGCGCGUCCACGUCCGUAAAACACCCAACUUCUGAAAUGUUGACCUCGGAUCAGGUAGGAAUACCCGCUGAACUUAAGCAUAUCAAUAAGCGGAGGA